RNAcentral lists this ribosomal RNA (885 nucleotides) under Mycobacterium sp. Pao71. RNAcentral's name for it is "bacterial SSU rRNA". It matches the Rfam family "Bacterial small subunit ribosomal RNA", at positions 74 to 973 of the family's 1533-position model. The record is from RNAcentral. Lineage: Bacteria; Bacillati; Actinomycetota; Actinomycetes; Mycobacteriales; Mycobacteriaceae.
GGCCCUUCGGGGUACUCGAGUGGCGAACGGGUGAGUAACACGUGGGUGAUCUGCCCUGCACUUCGGGAUAAGCCUGGGAAACUGGGUCUAAUACCGGAUAUGACCACAUGAUGCAUGUCGUGUGGUGGAAAGCUUUUGCGGUGUGGGAUGGGCCCGCGGCCUAUCAGCUUGUUGGUGGGGUCACGGCCUACCAAGGCGACGACGGGUAGCCGGCCUGAGAGGGUGACCGGCCACACUGGGACUGAGAUACGGCCCAGACUCCUACGGGAGGCAGCAGUGGGGAAUAUUGCACAAUGGGCGCAAGCCUGAUGCAGCGACGCCGCGUGAGGGACGACGGCCUUCGGGUUGUAAACCUCUUUCAGCACAGACGAAGCGCAAGUGACGGUAUGUGCAGAAGAAGGACCGGCCAACUACGUGCCAGCAGCCGCGGUAAUACGUAGGGUCCGAGCGUUGUCCGGAAUUACUGGGCGUAAAGAGCUCGUAGGUGGUUUGUCGCGUUGUUCGUGAAAACUCACAGCUCAACUGUGGGCGUGCGGGCGAUACGGGCAGACUAGAGUACUGCAGGGGAGACUGGAAUUCCUGGUGUAGCGGUGGAAUGCGCAGAUAUCAGGAGGAACACCGGUGGCGAAGGCGGGUCUCUGGGCAGUAACUGACGCUGAGGAGCGAAAGCGUGGGGAGCGAACAGGAUUAGAUACCCUGGUAGUCCACGCCGUAAACGGUGGGUACUAGGUGUGGGUUUCCUUCCUUGGGAUCCGUGCCGUAGCUAACGCAUUAAGUACCCCGCCUGGGGAGUACGGCCGCAAGGCUAAAACUCAAAGAAAUUGACGGGGGCCCGCACAAGCGGCGGAGCAUGUGGAUUAAUUCGAUGCAACGCGAAGAACCUUA